Long non-coding RNA from Xiphophorus hellerii (green swordtail), 170 nucleotides. RefSeq lists it as uncharacterized. The record is from RefSeq and is a predicted model, not a curated record. The transcript is spliced from 2 exons. NCBI's taxonomy places the organism in Eukaryota, Metazoa, Chordata, Actinopteri, Cyprinodontiformes, Poeciliidae.
UUUACCACAGCUGCACUGAGAAGUAGCUCUUAUAAUGAGCUCAAAAGGUGUUUGCUAAUCGCUGCUGGCUAGUCUGAAGGAGCUGAACUUCAAAGGCGGGGCUAAGUCCAAACAGGUGUUUGCAGCUGAAUGGUUGCCAUGGAGAUUAAAGGAUUCCUCAAACAUGCAUG